Molecule: long non-coding RNA, 225 nt
Filed under: Musa acuminata (dwarf banana)
Lineage: Eukaryota; Viridiplantae; Streptophyta; Magnoliopsida; Zingiberales; Musaceae
Description: long non-coding RNA (MACU_LNC011338)
Source: RNAcentral
UUUGGAGUUUCCAAGCAACUUUGAAUCCAAUUUACCCAUUUCUGUGGGAAGUUCAUAUCGAUGAGCAUCUUAUAGAUAAAACUCCUAUUAACUGAAACAAAGGCUUUCAGUAAAUCAGCUUUAAAACAUAUUUUCGUCCCUCUCGCAUUUGAGUGCAAGUCCUUUAUCAAGUCAUUAGCAAGCAGAAUAUUAUGAUGUAUACUUCUCCCGUUGAUGAAAGCUGCC